UACGAAGGGGGCUAGCGUUGCUCGGAAUCACUGGGCGUAAAGGGUGCGUAGGCGGGUUUUUAAGUCAGAGGUGAAAUCCUGGAGCUCAACUCCAGAACUGCCUUUGAUACUGAGAAUCUUGAGUAUGGGAGAGGUGAGUGGAACUGCGAGUGUAGAGGUGAAAUUCGUAGAUAUUCGCAAGAACCCCAGUGGCGAAGGCGGCUCACUGGCCCAUAACUGACGCUGAGGCACGAAAGCGUGGGGAGCAAACAGG
RNAcentral lists this ribosomal RNA (253 nucleotides) under uncultured bacterium. Its description in RNAcentral is "partial 16S ribosomal RNA". It matches the Rfam family "Bacterial small subunit ribosomal RNA", at positions 524 to 776 of the family's 1533-position model. The record is from RNAcentral.